AAUAUAACCCAAUUAAAAAAAAAAAAUCGGAAUUCAUUCUGUUCUGAGUCUCAUAUCUGCAACCCGGUCUCCUCACCCACUCACAUCCGCUGCAACUGCAACUCGGUAAUAUUUGAUUCAAACUAGAUCUGGUAACAUGAUACAUGAGCAAUGGAUCCAUUCUCGGUUGCUAACUUUACAACUCUUGCGGAUUCAUCCAUCCCACCAAUUUGAACCAGCUUAUCCUUUAAAUUCAUGCUUCAUCCAUCCCUUUAAUUUAUUCCCACUAUCAUCGGUUUUAUUAUUUCUUUAAUAUAUUUUUAAAUUUUUGGUUUAGUUGUUUACUGAUUUGUUGUUAGAAUUUUGAUAGCACUAGAAAAGAUGGGGCUGGAUAGUGUAAACAUUACAUGCAAGGUUUUAAAUACUAUGAAUUAAGUUCUUAAUUGAAUACAGAAAUUUUAUUGAAAACAGAGGAAACAUGAUGGAAGCAGAUCAUGAAGAUGGAAGUUAUGAUAGGAACAAGGAAUUAAAGCUUCUUGAGGAAACAAAAGCAGGUGUGAAGGGUCUUGUUGAUGCUGGUUUGACUAAGUUACCAAAGAUAUUCGUUCAUGACGGCCAUAAAGUCAACAUUUCUUCUUCUUCCUCUGCUACCAAUGUUAGUAUUCCAGUUAUUGAUUUGGGAUUACUACACGAAGAAGGUAAUUCACGCCAUGAGAUCAUUCAGAAAGUCAAAGAUGCGGGUGAGAAAUGGGAUUUCUUUCAAGUGGUCAACUGUGAUAUUCCACCAUGUGUUUUGGAUGAAAUGCUUGAUGGGGUACGUAGAUUUCAUGAGCAAGAUGCUGAGGUGAAGGGAUAAUUUUAUUCACGUCAUAUUACAAGGAGAGUGUUCUACAACACCAACUUCAAUUUUUAGAAAGCUUCAGAGGUUAAUUGAAGGGACACCCUCUCUUGUCUAUUGGCACCAGGGCCCCUUGACCGUCACCAACUCCCUUCCAUUUGCAGGUAUAUGGAGAAAGACUAGAACUCUAGCCUAGUUGUUGAUUUGGUAGAGACUCACAUGUAUUUUGUCAUCGUAUAAAGUUGAUAAUUGAGAACUGUAAGAUAAUUUGAUUUGAUAUGUUUGCAGAGAAGUAACAAUUAAGUACUUAGAUCAUGUCAAGAAACUGGCACUGACUUUGUUAGAAAUUAGAAUUGCUUUUGGAGUCAUUAGGCCUAGAACGUAGUUACUUUAACGACAUAGAUUGAGCUAAAGGGAUUUUUAUGCUUGGACAUUAUUACUCUCCUUGCCCUGAGCCUGAACUCACUUGGGGGUUAAGUGCCAUACAGGUGUAGGUUUUGUAACUGUUCUUCUACAAGACUAAGUUGGUGGACUUCAAGUCUUUUAUGAAAACCAGUGGAUUGAUGUCACUCCUAUUUCUGCUGCUCUCAUCACUAAUCUUGGUGAUAUGAUGCAGCUAAUCACAAAUGACAAGUUUAUGAGCGCCAAACACGGAGUUCUUGCUCAGAAAGUAGGUCCACGAGUUUUGAUUUCAUGCUCUCUGAGACAACAUGUUCAGGAUGAAUGUCUAAGAAUGUAUGGACCAAUAAAAGAGUUGGUGACAGAAGAGAGUCCUCCAAUUUAUAAGGAAAUAAAAAUGCUGGACUUGAUUAAACUGGCGUAUACCAAAAAGUUAGAUGACGAUGUCUCUCCACUAGAACACUUCAGGAUAUGAAGCAUUAAGAAUUAAAGAUAUUCCUGUAUAAAAGUAUAUUAAUUACAAACUUUCUCGAGAAAUUCUAAAGUGAGAGAUUCAACAUUUGCUGUUAUAGAAACUCUCAUGUUUUGUAUCUAAAUAAAGAGUAAUUCUCCAC
Arachis ipaensis is the source of this 1830-nucleotide non-coding RNA. The record is from RefSeq and is a predicted model, not a curated record. NCBI's taxonomy places the organism in Eukaryota, Viridiplantae, Streptophyta, Magnoliopsida, Fabales, Fabaceae.